This is an RNA transcript of Chroicocephalus ridibundus (black-headed gull), 1166 nucleotides long. It is a transcript of the gene named E3 ubiquitin-protein ligase RBBP6-like, with no coding region annotated. Lineage: Eukaryota; Metazoa; Chordata; Aves; Charadriiformes; Laridae. The transcript is spliced from 3 exons. The record is from RefSeq and is a predicted model, not a curated record.
AUGUGUUUUGUAGCGAUGCUGAUACCGUUAUACCUCCUGGUGCUCUGGUGACUGCUGCUGAGCUUUCUAGAUCUUCCUCUCUGUCAGUCAGCAGUUUGUUGGAAGAGAAGGUAAAUUUUAUUUCAACAUAUGCAGUGAGUCCUGUAUUUUAGUAGAGCUCAUUUUCCAACUGUUUGCGUUUAUUCACAAGGGCUGUCAGAUUCCUGUACUAAGACAACCAGCUUUACCAAGUCUUCUGGGCCCCCAAGGGCAAUCAAUGCCCACGACUGGUCAUCCAACGAGAGCCAGUACACCUCGCUCAGCGGGUGGCAGACCAGGCUGGGACCUGUAAGUGUUCUGCAGAAAUUCAGUAUAUUACUGCUCGUAACCUGUUAAAUGAGGCCGUAGCACGUAACUUAGAUAACAGCUGAUUUAUAAUGAGAAGUUCCAGUCGAGGACGCCUGCGUGGUGAACGUACCCAGAGGACCCAAGCCCCAACGCUACCAGCAUCAACAGCAGUCUUCGUGCCAGCGCCUCCGCCUUCUUUGUACCCUCCACCACCCCAAGCACUUCCUCUUCUACCGGGGGCACUACGACCACAGUUUCCUCCCCAGUUUCCACCUGGUCAGCCUCCAUCUGCCAGCUACACUGACUCCCCUCCAGGAUAUCCCCCAGCUCCUGCAAACACGUCAUCAGCCUGGGUACCAACAGCAGUACCGACGGCGCAUUCCGAUCCCAUCCCAGUGACACAAGCUCCUCCUUUAUCUAGGGAGGAGUUUUACAGAGAACACCAGCGACUGGAAGAGGAGUAAGUACUUGGCUCAAGGAAGUUGUGUUUGUUCUUUUUCAUUUUUGUAUUUUGAGAGCGUACUGGACUGCAGUUACACUGAAGUGCAUCUGACAUAAGCAAAAAUGACAUAGUAUUUUUUUCAACAGGCUUUUUUCUUGCAGAUGGCAAACGUGCAAAACUAAAAGAAGACAAACGUAAUUCUAAAACUGUCCCUUCAACUUACAGGAAUUCUAAACUGGUUUUGCUUAAAUAGGACAUGCACCUUUUGCGCUUGCGUGCAGUAUACGUUUUCUCACGUUGGGCACGGUUUGUUUCUUGGUGUCGUUUUGUCCUAAAGGUCAAACUCUAAUUGUAAUAAAGGUCAAACGAAUGCUUUUGCUAAGGAGUUGAUGGAAUA